AGGGCUUUAACAAUGGGUUCCUGAACCUUAACCAGUUACAGUCUGCCUUUAAGUCGGAUGACUUCCUGAACUGGCACGUCAUCACUGAUAUGUUCAAAAAGGCGCUUCCUUUCAUUAACUGGGAAAUGUUACCUAAGGUGAAAGGACUGAGAAGUGCAGUUCCUGAUUCCCAGUGACGAUUCUCUUUAAGACCUAGGACCUAGGCUGACCCCAUUAGAGGAGGAGGCAAGCCUGGAAUCCGGAAGCCCACCCUACGACAAAUC
Molecule: long non-coding RNA, 263 nt
Organism: Grammomys surdaster
Lineage: Eukaryota; Metazoa; Chordata; Mammalia; Rodentia; Muridae
Exons: 4
Source: RefSeq, a predicted model, not a curated record